GAUGAACGCUGGCGGCGUGCCUAAUACAUGCAAGUCAAGCGAACGGACGAGAAGCUUGCUUCUCUGAUGUUAGCGGCGGACGGGUGAGUAACACGUGGAUAACCUACCUAUAAGACUGGGAUAACUUCGGGAAACCGGAGCUAAUACCGGAUAAUAUUUUGAACCGCAUGGUUCAAAAGUGAAAGACGGUCUUGCUGUCACUUAUAGAUGGAUCCGCGCUGCAUUAGCUAGUUGGUAAGGUAACGGCUUACCAAGGCAACGAUGCAUAGCCGACCUGAGAGGGUGGUCGGCCACACUGGAACUGAGACACGGUCCAGACUCCUACGGGAGGCAGCAGUAGGGAAUCUUCCGCAAUGGGCGAAAGCCUGACGGAGCAACGCCGCGUGAGUGAUGAAGGUCUUCGGAUCGUAAAACUCUGUUAUUAGGGAAGAACAUAUGUGUAAGUAACUGUGCACAUCUUGACGGUACCUAAUCAGAAAGCCACGGCUAACUACGUG
This 497-nucleotide ribosomal RNA is filed under the name uncultured bacterium. Its description in RNAcentral is "partial 16S ribosomal RNA". It matches the Rfam family "Bacterial small subunit ribosomal RNA", at positions 28 to 507 of the family's 1533-position model. The record is from RNAcentral.